RNAcentral lists this long non-coding RNA (303 nucleotides) under Zostera marina. Its description in RNAcentral is "long non-coding RNA (ZMAR_LNC006067)". The record is from RNAcentral. Lineage: Eukaryota; Viridiplantae; Streptophyta; Magnoliopsida; Alismatales; Zosteraceae.
UUGGUGAGACUCAGGUUGCGAGUGUUUUGCCUCUUGCCCAAGCUCCAAUUUUGACUAUUGGUCAAAUUCGGUUGAUUUUGACUUUUGGUCAAACUCUGGGUGUUUUGACUUUUGGUCAAAGUUGGGUUUAUGUCCUUCUUAUCUUCCCCCACCCAUGUGCAAGCAUUUUUUAUUACAAUUUGUAUUUUUAUUUUUGUUUUUAUCCCCACCUCAAUCUUACCCACGGGCAUUUCUCUCCUACCCUCCCUUUUCACCCACAUGGGUAUUAUCCCUCUAAUUUUAUUAUUAUAGAGUUUAUUUUUC